RNAcentral lists this ribosomal RNA (504 nucleotides) under uncultured bacterium. RNAcentral describes it as "partial 16S ribosomal RNA". It matches the Rfam family "Bacterial small subunit ribosomal RNA", at positions 28 to 523 of the family's 1533-position model. The record is from RNAcentral.
GAUAAACGCCAGCGGCAGGCUUAACACAUGCAAGUCGAGGGGCAGCAUAGAUUGUAGCAAUACGAUUGGUGGCGACCGGCGCACGGGUGCGUAACGCGUAUGCAACCUACCCGUCACAGGGGGAUAAUCCGGAGAAAUCUGGUCUAAUACCCCAUAACAUAUGGAUCGGCAUCGGUUCAUGUUGAAAUUUUCGGAGGUGACGGAUGGGCAUGCGUAGCAUUAGCGUGUUGGUGAGGUAACGGCUCACCAAGGCGACGAUGCUUAGGGGGACGGAGAGUUUUUCCCCCCACAAUGGAACGGCGACCCGGACCAGACUCCUACGGUAGGCAGCAGUGAGGAAUAUUGGUCAAUGGGCGCAAGCCUGAACCAGCCAUGCCGCGUGCAGGAUGACGGCUCUAUGAGUUGUAAACUGCUUUUGUACGAGGGUAAAGUGGGUUACGUGUAACCUUAUGAAAGUAUCGUACGAAUAAGGAUCGGCUAACUCCGUGCCAGCCGCCGCAGUAA